RNAcentral lists this transfer RNA (70 nucleotides) under Dipodomys ordii (Ord's kangaroo rat). It matches the Rfam family "tRNA". From Rfam's summary of the family: Transfer RNA (tRNA) molecules are approximately 80 nucleotides in length. Their secondary structure includes four short double-helical elements and three loops (D, anti-codon, and T loops). Further hydrogen bonds mediate the characteristic L-shaped molecular structure. tRNAs have two regions of fundamental functional importance: the anti-codon, which is responsible for specific mRNA codon recognition, and the 3' end, to which the tRNAs corresponding amino acid is attached (by aminoacyl-tRNA synthetases). tRNAs cope with the degeneracy of the genetic code in two manners: having more than one tRNA (with a specific anti-codon) for a particular amino acid; and 'wobble' base-pairing, i.e. permitting non-standard base-pairing at the 3rd anti-codon position. Lineage: Eukaryota; Metazoa; Chordata; Mammalia; Rodentia; Heteromyidae. The record is from Rfam by way of RNAcentral.
GGGAAAGUGGCUCAGUGGUAGAGUGCUUGCCUAGUAUGCAUGAAGUCCUGGGUUCGAUUCCUCAGUACCA